GUGUGUUUAUGCGUGUAAAAUCAUGUGUAAUCACUCUCGUGUUUAAGUUUUUUUUUUUUUGCUGUUUCAAAUUCGAUCGGUGGCAAAUGAAGGAAGUGAGCUUAUCCUU
RNAcentral lists this small RNA (109 nucleotides) under Oryza sativa Japonica Group (Japanese rice). Its description in RNAcentral is "Os01g0201600". The record is from RNAcentral. Lineage: Eukaryota; Viridiplantae; Streptophyta; Magnoliopsida; Poales; Poaceae.